Molecule: long non-coding RNA, 240 nt
Filed under: Zea mays
Lineage: Eukaryota; Viridiplantae; Streptophyta; Magnoliopsida; Poales; Poaceae
Description: long non-coding RNA (ZMAY_LNC003995)
Source: RNAcentral
CUCCUUGAUCUUGUCCAUAAUGCCUUUCUUCUCGCCGGUGCCCUCGGUGCCGGUGGCGUAGGCGCCGCCGGUGUGUCCCUGCUGCCCGUAGGCGCUGCCGGUGUGUCCCUGCUGCCCAUAGGCGCCGCCGGUCGUCGCCGUGGCGUGCUGGUCGUCCUUGUGGCCUCCGGGCAGCUUCUCUUUGAUCUUCUCCUUGAUUCCCUUCUUCCUCCUUCCGCCCAUGCCGUCGUCCUCCGACUU